RNAcentral lists this small nuclear RNA (107 nucleotides) under Octopus bimaculoides (California two-spot octopus). Lineage: Eukaryota; Metazoa; Mollusca; Cephalopoda; Octopoda; Octopodidae. The record is from RNAcentral.
GUACUAGCUUCAGCAGUACAUAUUCUAAAAUUGGAACGAUACAUAGAAGAUUAACAUGGCCUCUGUGCAAGAAUGACACACAAAUUCAUGAAGCGUUCCAUAUUUUC